RNAcentral lists this long non-coding RNA (403 nucleotides) under Numida meleagris (helmeted guineafowl). RNAcentral's name for it is "lncRNA (ENSNMEG00000009384.1)". The record is from RNAcentral. Lineage: Eukaryota; Metazoa; Chordata; Aves; Galliformes; Numididae.
CAUCGAUCAGAUCCCAGAAGGAGAGCAGGGUUCAACACAGAAGUGCUGGGCAGGGAAGGGGUUAAACCACAUUCCUCUGUAGUAAGCCCCCACAGCUUGUCAUAGCCAAGCCUGAGUCAGGUGUGAUGAAUAACUUUAAUGACUAUUAAUUAAGUAUCAAGUCAUUAGCAAGGAGGCUGUAGAAGCCUGGGAAGAAGAAAGGAGAAGGUUUGGGGUUUUUCCUGCAUCUCUAGAAUCUCCUGGGAGCAGCGAGAGCCUCUGAAGAAGCAAUAUUUAGAUGGGAAACUUAUGUCCUCCAAGCUGGCAAGCUGCAACAGUGACACAGAUUUUUUUUUUCUUGUCGCUGCAAAACUCUCCCUGUAAAAGCUGCAGAACACCCGAGUGAGCAGAGCCCUGGGCAGCA